Molecule: ribosomal RNA, 167 nt
Filed under: uncultured rumen bacterium
Lineage: Bacteria
Description: partial 16S ribosomal RNA
Rfam family: Bacterial small subunit ribosomal RNA
Source: RNAcentral
UACGGGAGGCAGCAGUGGGGAAUAUUGCACAAUGGGCGAAAGCCUGAUGCAGCAACGCCGCGUGAAGGAUGAAGGUCUUCGGAUCGUAAACUUCUGUCCUUGGGGAAGAUAAUGACGGUACCCAUGGAGGAAGCCCCGGCUAACUACGUGCCAGCAGCCGCGGUAAU